RNAcentral lists this long non-coding RNA (500 nucleotides) under Homo sapiens (human). Its description in RNAcentral is "HSALNT0290137". Lineage: Eukaryota; Metazoa; Chordata; Mammalia; Primates; Hominidae. The record is from RNAcentral.
CUGCAACCCAGAGAAAGUUUUGUGUUGUGUUCUGGCUGGCGAAACUUCUGCAAACAACGAAUGCUUCUUUUCAUCAGCCUAUUCUGCGUUGGUUGGUAGGAUGUCAGUCUAUAACCACAUCAAUUUCAGAUGAGGAUGUCAAGACUUGGAGUAGGUGACAGUUGGCCUUGGGCUUCGGUGGCCAACCCAUGACUACAAAAGCCCGAGAAGCCAGCAGCUUCCCCGGCUCCUCCACCAAGUGGCCUCUGGGUGAUGGGGAAGCUUGUCCUCUGCUUUGUCACACACAAAACUCUAAAAGUCAGCAUCCCAACGCAUCGGCCUGGAGAGCCCGUCCAGAAAGAAACAGAAAAAAGGAAAGAAAAGAAAGAAGAAAGAAAAAAAGAAUGCAAGCUUCAUGUUUGGCUGUAGCCUCCGCUGAGGGAGCCUCUCCAGUCCCGACUGCCGCGUGCCCUGGGUGGCGGAGGAAUUUGGGGGUGGACCUAUCUCAGUUGUAUCUGGAA